ACUACAGACUCAAUGAUCCCUGACAUUCAAGCGGGUCUGGAAAAAGCAGCGACACUGAUGAUGGCGGCUCUGGCAGGAAUAAAUCUCAUCUACUCAUUUG
Molecule: non-coding RNA, 100 nt
Organism: Hadesarchaea archaeon
Lineage: Archaea; Methanobacteriati; Hadarchaeota (SeqCode); Hadarchaeia (SeqCode)
Source: Rfam